Molecule: long non-coding RNA, 1092 nt
Organism: Sardina pilchardus (European sardine)
Lineage: Eukaryota; Metazoa; Chordata; Actinopteri; Clupeiformes; Clupeidae
Exons: 3
Source: RefSeq, a predicted model, not a curated record
GCAAGAGCCACUUUUGGUCUGAGGAUGAGACUACUGGACUAAACUUAUGUUAACAGAGACGGCAAGUCUUAAUAUACAUUUAUUAGAUGGGAGGAUGUACAGAAAUAGUGAGACCAUGAAAAUAAUUUAAAAAAGGAUGGCUGAGGAGGGUUUUCUCAGGACCGUCGAACAAGUAAGAUCAUGUCGAUGGAAAGUCUCUCAGGAAAACUUAGCUACUACGAUGUAAAAAAAAACCCAACAUACUAAGUGGGUCAGACCGUGCAACAUGUAUUUUUUUACGGAGUUGGAUCAUCUGUUGGCCAGCAGACCGAUGUCUAAUGCAGAAGAGAGUGGAGAAGACAUCGGCUUUGAAAACGAUCUGCUGCUUUCUCCCCAUCACCAGUACCAAGUGAGACUGUGGUCUCAGGAGAUAGUGUGGAUCUAGAAAGCCUAGACGUGUAUGACCCAGAUUUGGAGACCUCAACACCAACUCAUCUCCCAGUCACUCACUCCCAGCAACAAGGCACAACCACCAGACAGGCGAAAAGACCUAAGAUGACAAAGACAGUACAGGAGCACUACAUCCACCUGAGGCUACAGCAGCAGCAUCAGGAAUGGAUGUCAACCCAGAUGGCACAACAGCAGCAGCAGCAGGAGCAGCGUAUGAUGGAGACUCUGAUGGAGUCAAACGAAAGAUCUACCGGAACGGGCUGUCUCCCUUAUGCUUUUUUUUUUAAAUUAUUAUUUUAAUUCAACUAUGCGAGCUUUUGUUUAGGCAGAGUAGUUUCCUAACCUGAGUCAGGCUAGUAGUUUCCUACUCUGAAGAAAGUCUAUGACUGAAAAGCUUGCAGAUUUAAAAAAGAAAAAUAUUUACUUCUUAAAAUCUUAAAACAGGAGUUCUCUCAUAAUUAUUAGGGCACUCUUACAGUUCAUAGCUAGUUUAUCUACAAUUUAAAAUUAAACACAUAAUUCUCAUCAAGGACAUUCUGAUAGCUGAACAAUAAUGUUCGUAUGAAAUUAAAUUAAUGGAAUUACCAUGCAGAAAUGUGACCAUCAAUUUUUAUUAGAUGUAUUUAUGAUGGCUAUGAAAGUUAAACUAAUGAAAAUAAUGAA